RNAcentral lists this transfer-messenger RNA (370 nucleotides) under Buchnera aphidicola (Aphis helianthi). It matches the Rfam family "transfer-messenger RNA". Rfam says of the family: Bacterial tmRNA, also known as 10Sa RNA or SsrA, is named for its dual tRNA and mRNA-like properties. Its role is to liberate the mRNA from a stalled ribosome. To accomplish this part of the tmRNA is used as a reading frame that ends in a translation stop signal. Lineage: Bacteria; Pseudomonadati; Pseudomonadota; Gammaproteobacteria; Enterobacterales; Erwiniaceae. The record is from RNAcentral.
GGGGCUGUUCUGGAUUCGACAAAAUUAUCAAACAAAUAAAGUGCAUGCCGAGGAACGGUUUGCCUCGUAAAAAGCCGUAAAAAAAUAGCUACAAAUAAUAAACAAAACUACGCAUUAGCAGCUUAAAAAACUGUAUAAAGCCCUUUAUUCUCGAAAUUAACUCUUUUAUAACGAGAAAUUUAUUAAAGGUCAUUUACUAAAGAGAAAACGUGAAAACAAUGCUUGGUUGUCACACGAUAAUAUUUAUUCAAGCUAUACUCCUAAAAUGCGUUUUUCCAAAUUAGGAGGAGAAUAUAAUUAGAAAAGCUAAGCAUGUAGGAUCUUUAUUUAUAGAAAUUUUGGACGCGGGUUCAAAUCCCGCCAGCUCCAA